Molecule: ribosomal RNA, 595 nt
Filed under: uncultured bacterium
Lineage: Bacteria
Description: bacterial SSU rRNA
Rfam family: Bacterial small subunit ribosomal RNA
Source: RNAcentral
AGAGUUUGAUCAUGGCUCAGGAUGAACGCUAGCGACAGGCCUAACACAUGCAAGUCGAGGGGCAGCACGUGAGUAGCAAUACGAUGGUGGCGACCGGCGCACGGGUGAGUAACACGUAUGCAACCUGCCUUCAACAGGAGGAUAACCCGUUGAAAAACGGACUAAUACUCCAUAACACAGGGGUCCCGCAUGGGAAUAUUUGUUAAAGAUUUAUCGGUUGAAGAUGGGCAUGCGUUCCAUUAGCUUGUUGGUGAGGUAACGGCUCACCAAGGCCACGAUGGAUAGGGGAACUGAGAGGUUUAUCCCCCACACUGGAACUGAGACACGGUCCAGACUCCUACGGGAGGCAGCAGUGAGGAAUAUUGGUCAAUGGAGGCAACUCUGAACCAGCCAAGUCGCGUGAAGGAUGAAGGUCCUAUGGAUUGUAAACUUCUUUUAUACGGGAAUAAAGUGGGGGACGUGUCCCCCUUUGCAAGUACCGUAUGAAUAAGGAUCGGCUAACUCCGUGCCAGCAGCCGCGGUAAUACGGAGGAUCCGAGCGUUAUCCGGAUUUAUUGGGUUUAAAGGGUGCGCAGGCGGGAUGUUAAGUCGGCGG